This 21-nucleotide non-coding RNA is filed under the name Arabidopsis thaliana (thale cress). The record is from RNAcentral. Lineage: Eukaryota; Viridiplantae; Streptophyta; Magnoliopsida; Brassicales; Brassicaceae.
CAAGGUUCUCAUGGCCAAUGA